AUUAAAAUAAAGAAUAAUGUAAGUCGCUCUGGAUAAGAGCGUCUGCUAAAUGACGUAAAUGUAAGAGUGACUGAUGACGUCAUCCUAACUCCCAAGUUUAACACGUCACUUGUGGCUGUGCAGAGAAUCUCCGGUUUUCUAACAUUAUUAUUCUAUCUGUUUUAUGCUUCACUGUGCGUGAAUGAAAGAACAAGUUGUUGGGACCCGGCCUGGUUUGGUUCUCAGGUGAGGGUUGUUUCUUUUGAAUUAUCCUCUGAUCAGCCUGAGGAUAUUGGCUGAAGAUGAUGUAAAACAGGGGUGUCAAACUCAUUCCAUGGAGGACCUAGUGUCUGCUCGUUUUAGAUUUUUCCUUUCAAUUAAGACCUAGACAACCAGGUGAGGGGGGUGCCUUACUAAUUAGCGACCUUAAUUCAUCAAUCAAGUACAAGGGAGGAGCGAAAACCCGCAGACACUCGGCUCUCCGUGGAAUGGGUUGGACACAUGAUGUAAAGGAAAUAAAUAAUACAAAACGUUCAUUAAUCAGCUUACAUUUAAAGCAAAAAAACUAUGAUAGUGCUUUACCUUUUUGCCUCAUGGAGGGCCAACUUUGGCAGAUAUCUUUAGUGGUCCUAAAUGGUCAGCACCAUUCAUGUAUAGGUAUGUCCUCUUCCUUUUCACUAUUGGGCCUAUCCACAAUCAUGUGCCUGAUGAGCAGGCAGUGACCCACAUAUACUGUGUCAUGUUUUUCCAUCAGAGAGAUCACAUGAAAGAGCUUUUCCCCCAGUACAAUGAGAAGAGAAUGUGAUAGGUUAGCCAAAAGGCUUUUGUUGGAAGUUAUUCUCUUUGAAGAUUGAUGAGAUAAGAGUGUUUAUAAAUUGGAAAUCUGUUACACAGUGAUAGAUAACUCUAUUGUUAAAACACGUAUAUGGUACAGGGCUAGGUGUUUUUGAAUGAAAAUUGAAUUAAUGUGAUUUACCCAAAUAGAUGCUUGGUAUCCCUGGUAGGAUAGAAAAUUAAACAUCAAAUAAAGUUUGCCUGCAAGGGUU
Coregonus clupeaformis (lake whitefish) is the source of this 1025-nucleotide long non-coding RNA. RefSeq lists it as uncharacterized. NCBI's taxonomy places the organism in Eukaryota, Metazoa, Chordata, Actinopteri, Salmoniformes, Salmonidae. The record is from RefSeq and is a predicted model, not a curated record. The transcript has 2 exons.